Molecule: transfer RNA, 66 nt
Filed under: Gryllodes sigillatus
Lineage: Eukaryota; Metazoa; Arthropoda; Insecta; Orthoptera; Gryllidae
Also listed under: 1 other name
Description: tRNA-Tyr
Rfam family: tRNA
About the family: Transfer RNA (tRNA) molecules are approximately 80 nucleotides in length. Their secondary structure includes four short double-helical elements and three loops (D, anti-codon, and T loops).
Source: RNAcentral
GAUAAAAUGGCUGAAGUUUAGGCGAUAGAUUGUAAAUCUUUUUAUGGAUUAAAGGUCCUUUUAUCA